UUGUUUCAGCAGCACAUACAUAAAAACUUAGAAUGAUACAGGGAAGAUUAGCACGGCCCCUGCACAAGGACCACUGGCAAAUUCAUCGAGCGGUUGUUUUUGUGU
Hyaena hyaena (striped hyena) is the source of this 105-nucleotide small nuclear RNA. The record is from RefSeq and is a predicted model, not a curated record. NCBI's taxonomy places the organism in Eukaryota, Metazoa, Chordata, Mammalia, Carnivora, Hyaenidae.